RNAcentral lists this ribosomal RNA (393 nucleotides) under uncultured Anaerovorax sp. RNAcentral's name for it is "bacterial SSU rRNA". It matches the Rfam family "Bacterial small subunit ribosomal RNA", at positions 138 to 546 of the family's 1533-position model. The record is from RNAcentral. Lineage: Bacteria; Bacillati; Bacillota; Clostridia; Peptostreptococcales; Anaerovoracaceae.
GAGGGAUAGCAACGGGAAACUGUUAUUAAAACCUCAUAAUACCGACAUGUCAAAUGACAAGACGGUCAAAGAUUUAUCGGCAAAGGAUGGGCCUGCGUCUGAUUAGUUAGUUGGUAGGGUAACGGCCUACCAAGGCAGCGAUCAGUAGCCGACCUGAGAGGGUGAUCGGCCACAUUGGAACUGAGACACGGUCCAAACUCCUACGGGAGGCAGCAGUGGGGAAUAUUGCACAAUGGGCGAAAGCCUGAUGCAGCAACGCCGCGUGAAGGAUGAAGGCCUUUGGGUCGUAAACUUCUGUCCUUGGGGAAGAAAAAAAUGACGGUACCCCUGGAGGAAGUCCCGGCUAACUACGUGCCAGCAGCCGCGGUAAUACGUAGGGGGCGAGCGUUAUCC